GAUGAACGCUGGCGGCGUGCUUAACACAUGCAAGUCGAACGAGAAGUGAAGAAGGAAACCUUCGGGCGGAAGGCUUUAUUUCGAGUGGCGGACGGGUGAGUAACGCGUGGGUAACCUGCCUCAUACAGGGGGAUAACAGUUGGAAACGACUGUUAAUACCGCAUAAGACCACAGCACCGCAUGGUGCGGGGGUAAAAACUCCGGUGGUAUGAGAUGGACCCGCGUUCGAUUAGCCAGUUGGCGGGGUAACGGCCCACCAAAGCGACGAUCGAUAGCCGAUCUGAGAGGAUGACCGGCCACAUUGGGACUGAGACACGGCCCAAACUCCUACGGGAGGCAGCAGUGGGGAAUAUUGCACAAUGGGGGAAACCCUGAUGCAGCGACGCCGCGUGAGUGAAGAAGUAUUUCGGUAUGUAAAGCUCUAUCAGCAGGGAAGAAAAUGACGGUACCUGAGUAAGAAGCCCCGGCUAACUACGU
This 477-nucleotide ribosomal RNA is filed under the name uncultured bacterium. RNAcentral's name for it is "partial 16S ribosomal RNA". It matches the Rfam family "Bacterial small subunit ribosomal RNA", at positions 28 to 506 of the family's 1533-position model. The record is from RNAcentral.